This 160-nucleotide non-coding RNA is filed under the name Streptomyces sp. Lineage: Bacteria; Bacillati; Actinomycetota; Actinomycetes; Kitasatosporales; Streptomycetaceae. The record is from RNAcentral.
UUAAGGUGUGCGGGACAACUUCAUCCGUACCCGAUCGGGGGAAGCCGGUGGAAAUCCGGCGCUGACCCGCAACCGUGAGGACGGCCCGUCCGUACCGCGCCGGCUGGCCCGGCAGGACGGCCGUACGAGCCGGAACACCCGAGGGGGCACGACCAAGGCU